GUGGGGAAUAUUGGACAAUGGGCGAAAGCCUGAUCCAGCCAUGCCGCGUGUGUGAAGAAGGUCUUCGGAUUGUAAAGCACUUUAAGUUGGGAGGAAGGGCAGUAAGUUAAUACCUUGCUGUUUUGACGUUACCAACAGAAUAAGCACCGGCUAACUUCGUGCCAGCAGCCGCGGUAAUACGAAGGGUGCAAGCGUUAAUCGGAAUUACUGGGCGUAAAGCGCGCGUAGGUGGUUCAGCAAGUUGAAGGUGAAAUCCCCGGGCUCAACAUGGGAACGGCCUCCAAAACUACUGAGCUAGAGUACGGUAGAGGGUAGUGGAAUUUCCUGUGUAGCGGUGAAAUGCGUAGAUAUAGGAAGGAACACCAGUGGCGAAGGCGACUACCUGGACUGAUACUGACACUGAGGUGCGAAAGCGUGGGGAGCAAACAGGAUUAGAAACCCUGGUAGUCC
RNAcentral lists this ribosomal RNA (450 nucleotides) under uncultured bacterium. RNAcentral describes it as "partial 16S ribosomal RNA". It matches the Rfam family "Bacterial small subunit ribosomal RNA", at positions 354 to 796 of the family's 1533-position model. The record is from RNAcentral.